UGGUGGAGCGAUUUGUCUGGUCAAUUCCGAUAACGAACGAGACUCUAGCCUACUAAAUAGUUCGGGGACCCCCACAAAGGGGCCCCGCUUCAACUACUUAGAGGGACAGGUGGCGUUUAGCCACACGAGAUUGAGCAAUAACA
RNAcentral lists this ribosomal RNA (143 nucleotides) under uncultured eukaryote. Its description in RNAcentral is "partial 18S ribosomal RNA". It matches the Rfam family "Eukaryotic small subunit ribosomal RNA", at positions 1299 to 1458 of the family's 1831-position model. The record is from RNAcentral.